RNAcentral lists this ribosomal RNA (494 nucleotides) under uncultured bacterium. RNAcentral describes it as "partial 16S ribosomal RNA". It matches the Rfam family "Bacterial small subunit ribosomal RNA", at positions 28 to 507 of the family's 1533-position model. The record is from RNAcentral.
GACGAACGCUGGCGGCGUGCUUAACACAUGCAAGUCGAACGGUAAAGCGCCUUCCUUGUUGGUUGGUGUGGAUGCGUGGCGAACGGGUAAAUAACACGUAAGUAACCUGCCCCCUGCUUCUGGAUAACCGCAUGAAAGUGUGGCUAAUACGGGAUAUUCUGGUUCUUUCGCAUGGUGGGUCUGGGACAGAUAUUGUUUCGGUGGGGGAUGGGCUCGCGGCCUAUCAGCUUGUUGGUGGUGUGAUGGCCUACCAAGGCGAUGACGGGUCGCCGGCCUGAGAGGGUGGACGGUCACACUGGGAGUGCGACCCGGAUGAGACUGCUACGGGAGGCAGCAGUGUGGAAUAUGGCACAAUGGGGGAAAUCCGGAUGCAGCGACGCGGCGGGAGGGAUGGAGGCCUGCGCGUUGUGAACCGCUUUCGGUAGUGAAGCAGGUUCGCCUCUUUUGUGGGGGGGUUGACGGUAGCUGGAUAAGAAGCGCCGGCUAACUACGUG